AUGAACGCUGGCGGCGUGCCUAAUACAUGCAAGUCGAGCGAACGGACGAGAAGCUUGCCUCUGAUGUUAGCGGCGGACGGGUGAGUAACACGUGGAUAACCUACCUAUAAGACUGGGAUAACUUCGGGAAACCGUAGCUAAUACCGGAUAAUAUUUUGAACCGCAUGGUUCAAAAGUGAAAGACGGUCUUGCUGUCACUUAUAGAUGGAUCCGCGCUGCAUUAGCUAGUUGGUAAGGUAACGGCUUACCAAGGCAACGAUGCAUAGCCGACCUGAGAGGGUGAUCGGCCACACUGGAACUGAGACACGGUCCAGACUCCUACGGGAGGCAGCAGUAGGGAAUCUUCCGCAAUGGGCGAAAGCCUGACGGAGCAACGCCGCGUGAGUGAUGAAGGUCUUCGGAUCGUAAAACUCUGUUAUUAGGGAAGAACAUAUGUGUAAGUAACUGUGCACAUCUUGACGGUACCUAAUCAGAAAGCCACGGCUAACUACGU
This 493-nucleotide ribosomal RNA is filed under the name uncultured bacterium. RNAcentral describes it as "partial 16S ribosomal RNA". It matches the Rfam family "Bacterial small subunit ribosomal RNA", at positions 29 to 506 of the family's 1533-position model. The record is from RNAcentral.